UGGGGAAUAUUGCACAAUGGGCGCAAGCCUGAUGCAGCCAUGCCGCGUGUAUGAAGAAGGCCUUCGGGUUGUAAAGUACUUUCAGCGGGGAGGAAGGGAGUAAAGUUAAUACCUUUGCUCAUUGACGUUACCCGCAGAAGAAGCACCGGCUAACUCCGUGCCAGCAGCCGCGGUAAUACGGAGGGUGCAAGCGUUAAUCGGAAUUACUGGGCGUAAAGCGCACGCAGGCGGUUUGUUAAGUCGGAUGUGAAAUCCCCGGGCUCAACCUGGGAAAUGCAUUCGAAACUGGCAGGCUAGAGUCUUGUAGAGGGGGGUAGAAUUCCAGGUGUAGCGGUGAAAUGCGUAGAGAUCUGGAGGAAUACAGGUGGCGAAGGCGGCCCCCUGGACAAAGACUGACGCUCAGGUGCGAAAGCGUGGGGAGCAAACAGG
Molecule: ribosomal RNA, 429 nt
Filed under: Chloroflexota bacterium
Lineage: Bacteria; Bacillati; Chloroflexota
Description: Chloroflexi bacterium partial 16S ribosomal RNA
Rfam family: Bacterial small subunit ribosomal RNA
Source: RNAcentral